Molecule: transfer RNA, 73 nt
Organism: Vagococcus teuberi
Lineage: Bacteria; Bacillati; Bacillota; Bacilli; Lactobacillales; Enterococcaceae
Rfam family: tRNA
About the family: Transfer RNA (tRNA) molecules are approximately 80 nucleotides in length. Their secondary structure includes four short double-helical elements and three loops (D, anti-codon, and T loops). Further hydrogen bonds mediate the characteristic L-shaped molecular structure. tRNAs have two regions of fundamental functional importance: the anti-codon, which is responsible for specific mRNA codon recognition, and the 3' end, to which the tRNAs corresponding amino acid is attached (by aminoacyl-tRNA synthetases). tRNAs cope with the degeneracy of the genetic code in two manners: having more than one tRNA (with a specific anti-codon) for a particular amino acid; and 'wobble' base-pairing, i.e. permitting non-standard base-pairing at the 3rd anti-codon position.
Source: Rfam
GGGCUGUUAGCUCAGUUGGUAGAGCAACGGACUCUUAAUCCGUGGGUCAUGGGUUCGAACCCCCUACAGCCCA